UCUUUUUAGUCCUAGGCUUUAUGUUCUGUAUUCAGAGAUCUCUCUCUAUUGAUACAUGCCAUUUUUUCUUUUCAGUUUUUCCUUUAACAUAUCUCUCCCUUUUCUGCAGGAAUGACAUCUUUGUGUUCCUGUUAAGCACACGAGCUGGAGGACUGGGUAUCAAUCUCACUGCUGCAGACACAGUGAUUUUCUAUGAUAGCGACUGGAACCCCACUGUGGACCAGCAGGCCAUGGACAGGGCCCACCGCUUAGGGCAGACAAAGCAGGUUACUGUGUACCGGCUCAUCUGUAAAGGCACCAUUGAAGAACGCAUUCUGCAAAGAGCCAAGGAGAAGAGUGAGAUUCAGCGGAUGGUGAUUUCAGGUGGGAACUUCAAACCAGAUACCUUGAAACCCAAAGAGGUGGUUAGUCUUCUUCUAGACGACGAAGAGUUGGAGAAGAAACUGAGGCUGCGGCAGGAAGAGAAACGGCAACAGGAGGAAACCAACCGAGUGAAAGAGCGCAAGCGGAAGCGGGAAAAGUAUGCAGAGAAGAAGAAAAAA
This 542-nucleotide small RNA is filed under the name Pan troglodytes (chimpanzee). Its description in RNAcentral is "retained intron". The record is from RNAcentral. Lineage: Eukaryota; Metazoa; Chordata; Mammalia; Primates; Hominidae.